RNAcentral lists this long non-coding RNA (734 nucleotides) under Nicotiana tabacum (common tobacco). RNAcentral's name for it is "long non-coding RNA (NTAB_LNC008808)". Lineage: Eukaryota; Viridiplantae; Streptophyta; Magnoliopsida; Solanales; Solanaceae. The record is from RNAcentral.
AGCUCCCUAUUCUUCUACUCUUCAGAAACAAAGAAGAAGAAAUAUCUACCUCUAUCUCUUUCUAUCUCUAUCUUUCCACUCUAUCUCUCUAUCUCUAUCUCUCUCUAUCUUUUUCCUCUGUAAGAACAAGAAGCUGAAGGUUCAUAAAAAAAAACCAUGGAUUUCUACUAAAUCAACACACAAAAUUCGUUUUUGGUGAAGAUCAAGUUGCUCCUCUUGGUAAGUUUCUAUAACCCGUUUUUAUACUAGACAUCUACUAGUAUUUUCUAUAUAUCUUUUUGUACAGAGCUCCAAUUUAAGUGAUCUAGGACUUUCUGGAAAGGUAUUUUAUAAAUCUACAACUCUUAUGAAGGAAUCGAAAUCUAGUUUUGUCGGUAUAUACCUGAAAAAUGGUCAAAAAGUACAGGGCAGGUGCUGUCCAGAUUUUCAGUUCUUGAAAUACUCUAUGUACUGCUGUUAGUAAAUUUAGCAUAACUUUUUUUUCAAAAUUGAUAUGGUGGUUAUUCAAGAUUUUCUGAAACGGUAAGACAUAGAUCUACAACUUUUGUGAAGACUAUAAAGUCUAUUUCGUCCGUAUAGAUCUUCAAAACUGAGUCACACCUUGGAACAGUGAUACUGUCCAGAAUUUCUGUUUCAAACGUUUUUGGGUAAUUUUCACCAAUAUCAUGUUUAGUUGACUUGUUAAAUCACUGAACUUAUUUAGAUAUUUGAUUAUGUAUUUAAGGUAUAUAAAC